Molecule: ribosomal RNA, 468 nt
Filed under: uncultured bacterium
Lineage: Bacteria
Description: partial 16S ribosomal RNA
Rfam family: Bacterial small subunit ribosomal RNA
Source: RNAcentral
GACGAACGCUGGCGGCGUGCUUAACACAUGCAAGUCGAACGGAAAGGCCCUGCUUUUGUGGGGUGCUCGAGUGGCGAACGGGUGAGUAACACGUGAGUAACCUCCCCUUGACUUUGGGAUAACUUCAGGAAACUGGGGCUAAUACCGGAUAGGAGCUCCUGCUGCAUGGUGGGGGUUGGAAAGUUUCGGCGGUUGGGGAUGGACUCGCGGCUUAUCAGCUUGUUGGUGGGGUAGUGGCUUACCAAGGCUUUGACGGGUAGCCGGCCUGAGAGGGUGACCGGCCACAUUGGGACUGAGAUACGGCCCAGACUCCUACGGGAGGCAGCAGUGGGGAAUAUUGCACAAUGGGCGGAAGCCUGAUGCAGCAACGCCGCGUGCGGGAUGACGGCCUUCGGGAUGUAAACCGCUUUCGCCUGUGACGAAGCGUGAGUGACGGUAAUGGGUAAAGAAGCACCGGCUAACUACGUG